CCUACGGGUGGCAGCAGUGGGGAAUAUUGCACAAUGGGGGAAACCCUGAUGCAGCGACGCCGCGUGAGUGAAGAAGUAAUUAGUUAUGUAAAGCUCUAUCAGCAGGGAAGAAAAUGACGGUACCUGUGUAAGAAGCCCCGGCUAACUACGUGCCAGCAGCCGCGGUAAUACGUAGGGGGCAAGCGUUAUCCGGAUUUACUGGGUGUAAAGGGGGCGUAGGCGGCAGGGCAAGUCUGGAGUGAAAGGCGGGGGCUCAACCCCCGAACUGCUCUUGAAACUGUACGGCUGGAGUGCAGGAGAGGUAAGAGGAAUUCCUAGUGUAGCGGUGAAAUGCGUAGAUAUUAGGAGGAACACCAGUGGCGAAGGCGGCUUACUGGACUGUAACUGACGUUGAGGCUCGAAAGCGUGGGGAGCAAACAGGAUUAGAUACCCGGGUAGUC
This 440-nucleotide ribosomal RNA is filed under the name uncultured bacterium. Its description in RNAcentral is "partial 16S ribosomal RNA". It matches the Rfam family "Bacterial small subunit ribosomal RNA", at positions 338 to 795 of the family's 1533-position model. The record is from RNAcentral.